GAUGAACGCUGGCGGCGUGCCUAACACAUGCAAGUCGAACGAAGCACCUUACCUGAUUCUUCGGAUGAAAGUUUGGUGACUGAGUGGCGGACGGGUGAGUAACGCGUGGGUAACCUGCCCUGUACAGGGGGAUAACAGCUGGAAACGGCUGCUAAUACCGCAUAAGCGCACGAGGAGACAUCUCCUUGUGUGAAAAACUCCGGUGGUACAGGAUGGGCCCGCGUCUGAUUAGCUGGUUGGCAGGGUAACGGCCUACCAAGGCAACGAUCAGUAGCCGGUCUGAGAGGAUGAACGGCCACAUUGGAACUGAGACACGGUCCAGACUCCUACGGGAGGCAGCAGUGGGGAAUAUUGCACAAUGGGGGAAACCCUGAUGCAGCAACGCCGCGUGAGUGAAGAAGUAUUUCGGUAUGUAAAGCUCUAUCAGCAGGGAAGAUAAUGACGGUACCUGACUAAGAAGCUCCGGCUAAAUACGUG
This 477-nucleotide ribosomal RNA is filed under the name uncultured bacterium. RNAcentral describes it as "partial 16S ribosomal RNA". It matches the Rfam family "Bacterial small subunit ribosomal RNA", at positions 28 to 507 of the family's 1533-position model. The record is from RNAcentral.